GAAGGCAGCAUCUGUCUAUCUCAAGCUGAGGUCAUAGACCCCCUAGGCUUAGGCAAGCAUCUGCUAGCUGACCUGUUGCCCACAGAUGGACAAGACUCCACCCUCGGAAGGUAUUUCCCCUGCCCUUCCCGAGCGUGCACACUCUGAAGAGCCGAAGUUUGGUUGGGGAAGUGCAGAUGACUGGGGCCAAGAGGUCAGUGGAAGAUGACAUCUUUAAGAAGCUGAAAGAAAAAAAAAAAAAAACCUGUCAAUCUGAACUGUGUGAAGAACAAAGAGAGCCAAAAAAAAUUGAAACUGACAUUCAAACUUAUGUGGAGCUUCCAGGGCCUCUGAGUAGCCAAAACAAUAUUGAGAAAUAAGAAUAAAAUCGAGCCGGGCAGUGGUGGUGCACGCC
This is a non-coding RNA of Peromyscus maniculatus bairdii (prairie deer mouse), 394 nucleotides long. The record is from RefSeq and is a predicted model, not a curated record. NCBI's taxonomy places the organism in Eukaryota, Metazoa, Chordata, Mammalia, Rodentia, Cricetidae.